This 548-nucleotide ribosomal RNA is filed under the name Verruconis gallopava. Its description in RNAcentral is "eukaryotic LSU rRNA". It matches the Rfam family "Eukaryotic large subunit ribosomal RNA", at positions 50 to 601 of the family's 3401-position model. Lineage: Eukaryota; Fungi; Ascomycota; Dothideomycetes; Venturiales; Sympoventuriaceae. The record is from RNAcentral.
GCGGAGGAAAAGAAACCAACUGGGAUUGCCUCAGUAACGGCGAGUGAAGCGGCAACAGCUCAAAUUUGAAAUCUGGCGCCUUGGGCGUCCGAGUUGUAAUUUGUAGAGGGAGUCUCGGGUUAAGGGUCGGUCCAAGUGCCUUGGAACAGGAUACCGAAGAGGGUGAGAGUCCCGUAUCCGGCCGACGCCAGCGCCCGUGUGAGGCCCCUUCGACGAGUCGAGUUGUUUGGGAAUGCAGCUCUAAAUGGGUGGUAAAUUCCAUCUAAAGCUAAAUACUGGCCAGAGACCGAUAGCGCACAAGUAGAGUGAUCGAAAGAUGAAAAGCACUUUGAAAAGAGAGUCAAACAGUACGUGAAAUUGUUGAAAGGGAAGCGUAUGUGGGCAGACUUGGACGCUGGAUUCAGGCCGCCUUCUGGCGGGUGCAUUUUCCAGCGGACAGGCCAGCAUCGGUUCUGAGGGCCGGACAAAGACGAAGGGAAUGUGGCUCCUCUCUGGGGAGUGUUAUAGCCCGGCGUGCAAUGCGGCCACUUGGGACCGAGGACCGCGCA